This 1106-nucleotide long non-coding RNA is filed under the name Salmo salar (Atlantic salmon). RNAcentral describes it as "lncRNA (ENSSSAG00000085252.1, ENSSSAG00000114171.1)". Lineage: Eukaryota; Metazoa; Chordata; Actinopteri; Salmoniformes; Salmonidae. The record is from RNAcentral.
UGAAAAUAUCUUGAAGGAGGAUAAUAUCUUGAAGGGGGAUAAUAUGUAAGAGGAGAGGAGGAUAAUAUCUAGGAGGACGAUAAUAUAUAGGAGGAGGAUAAUAUCUAGGAGGAGAGGAGGAUAAUAUCUAUUAGGAGGAUAAUAUCUAGGAGGAGGAUAAUAUCUAGGAGGAGGAUCAUUUCUAGGAGGAGGAUAAUAUCUAGGUGUGGAGGAGGAUAAUAUCUUGGAGGAGGAUAAUAUAUAGGAGGAAGAUAAUAUCUUGGAGGGGAGGAGGAUAAUAUCUUUGAGGAGGAUAAUAUCUAGGAGGAGAGGAGCAUAAUAUCCAGGAGGAGGAGAGGAUUAUAUCUAGCAAGAUAAUAUCUAGGAGGAGAGGAUAAUAUCUAGGAGGAGAGGAGGAUAAUAUCUUGAAGGAGGAUAAUAUCUUGAAGAGGGAUAAUAUCUAGGAGGAGAGGAGGAUAAUACCUAGGAGGACGAUAAUAUAUAGGAGGAUGAUAAUAUCUAAAAGGAGUGGGUGAUAGUAUCUAGGAGGAGGAGUUGAGGAUAAUAUCUAGGAGGAGAUGAGGUAAUAUGUAGGAGGAGGAUAAUAUCUAGGAGGAGAGGAGGAUAAUAUCUAGGAGGAGGAUAAUAUCUAGGAGGAGAGGAGGAUAAUAUCUAGGAGGAGAAUAAUAUCUAGGAGUAGAGGAAGAUAAUAUCUAGGAGGAGAGGAGGAUAAUAUCUAGGAGGAGAGGAGGAUAAUAUCUAGGAGGAGGAUAAUAUCUAGGAGGAGAGGAAGAUAAUAUCUAGGAGGAGAGGAGGAUAAUAUCUCGGAGAGGAGGAUAAUAUCUAGGAGGAGAGGAGGAAUAAUAUCUAGGAGGAGAGGAGGAUAAUAUCUAGGAGGAUGAUAAUAUCUAGGAGGAGGAUAAUAUCUAGGAGGAGAGGAGGAUAAUAUCUAGGAGGGGGAUAAUAUCCAGGAGGAGGAUAAUAUUUAGGAGGAGAGGAGGAUAAUAUCUAGGAGGAGGAUAAUAUCUAGGAGGAGGAUAAUAUCUAGGAGGAGGAUAUAUCUAGUAGAAGGAUAAUAUUUAGGAGGAGAGGAGGAUAAUAUCGAGGAGGAGGAUAAUAUCUAGGAG